UUCCCCAGUUGCAAACAUCAGCUUUGAAGCAUCAUAUGCAGCCUCAUUUGAGAUAUUUCUCAAUAGAUACAUCAAAACCUCAUUAAAAUGAUCUGGAUUGGAUAUAUUUUUCCCUUGAGUUUCCCGGUCCACAUACUUUCCAGUGUAAACUUGCAUCGAGAAAAAUGACUGGAUAGAAUAUCGGACUUGACAUAAUUCAUACCAUAUAAUUGCACUUCUGCUCUUGCAAGCCUCCAGAAGUCGUUGACCUGCGGCCUUGACGCAAGUUUGGCAAGUUAUGGCAUUGGUAUCUCCUCUACAAAGUGCUUG
This 309-nucleotide unclassified non-coding RNA is filed under the name Hevea brasiliensis (rubber tree). The record is from RNAcentral. Lineage: Eukaryota; Viridiplantae; Streptophyta; Magnoliopsida; Malpighiales; Euphorbiaceae.